UUAAGUUCAGCGGGUAGUCUCACCCGAUUUGAGGUCAAGGUUCGUGGGUCAAAGUGGCAAUCACUUUGACCAUUUGUCUUCUGUGAGACGGUUAGAAGCAGGAGUGCAGAACCCGAGACGUAGAAAACAUCUUAUCACGUCAAGGAUCGGCAAAGCAGACCUUGCUAAUCCAUUUCAGAGGAGCUGGCUCCAACAAAGGG
This 200-nucleotide unclassified non-coding RNA is filed under the name Russula sp. RNAcentral describes it as "partial internal transcribed spacer 2". Lineage: Eukaryota; Fungi; Basidiomycota; Agaricomycetes; Russulales; Russulaceae. The record is from RNAcentral.